AACGAACGCUGGCGGCGCGCCUAAUACAUGCAAGUCGAACGAGAAGGUGUAGCAAUACACUUGUACAGUGGCGAACGGGUGAGGAAUGCAUGGGCAACCUACCCUCGAGUGGGGAAUAACCAGCCGAAAGGUUGGCUAAUACCGCGUACGCUUCCGGGUCUCCGGAUCCGGAAGGAAAGUCACACCGUGGGUGUGACGCUCAAGGAUGGGCUCAUGUCCUAUCAGCUUGNGGUGAGGUAACGGCUCACCAAGGCAACGACGGGUAGCUGGUCUGAGAGGACGAUCAGCCACACUGGCACUGCGACACGGGCCAGACUCCUACGGGAGGCAGCAGUAAGGAAUAUUGCGCAAUGGGCGAAAAGCCUGACGCAGCGACGCCGCGUGGGGGAUGAAGGUCUUCGGAUUGUUAAACCCCCUUUUAGGUAGGG
This 428-nucleotide ribosomal RNA is filed under the name uncultured bacterium. RNAcentral's name for it is "bacterial SSU rRNA". It matches the Rfam family "Bacterial small subunit ribosomal RNA", at positions 29 to 446 of the family's 1533-position model. The record is from RNAcentral.